UUGGGGACCUGGCAGAGCAGGGGCGCCGCCUGCUAGCCGCAGGUGAGCCGCUGGGCUGCAGGGAGAGGCUCUGGCAGGAGGCAGCUCCUGUGAAAGCCAGAGCCCGGCUGCCCUGAGCCCGCAGCCCUGCCAGGCCUUCAGCGGAGCACACAGGCCGGGGUGGGGGGUUGCACACCCCACCCCGCGGGCCCUCUGCAAGGCGGCAGAGCUGCACUCAGGUGCCUCGUGCUGCUUGGAAGAAGACGCUUGUGUCCCCGUUUGCCCUCCGAAGUAGCCUGUGUGUGUCAGUGCUUCUGUGUGUUCAUGCUUCCCUCAGUGUCAAAGUAGCCAUAGCAAAUGCUUCGGAUAUAACUUUGGACCUACGAAGCUUGGCUUGCGGGGUCAGGGACGCUGCGCUAAUGCUUCUGGCCUGGCUGGCGUGGGCUGCCCGCACCUUUGCAGCGCAGUCGGUGAGGAAUGCUCUUCCGGCACAUGCACGGUUAACUGAAGGGUCUGUUUAAGAGCAAAACACAGCCCUUAACUGCUAGUUUGAACACCUCAAGUGACUGCUACCCAAGUCAUGACGCUCCCAUUCCGAAAAGACUUAGACAAAUACAAGGAUCUUGAUGAGGAUGAAAUUCUGGGCAAGCUUUCAGAAGAAGAAUUAAAGCAACUGGAAACUGUUCUGGAUGACCUUGACCCUGAGAAUGCACUGCUGCCAGCGGGCUUCCGACAGAAGGACCAAACUGUUAAAAAAGCCUCUGGUCCUUUUGACAGAGAGCGACUCCUUGCCUUUUUGGAGAAGCAAGCACUAGAACACAAAGACAGGGAGGAUUUUGUGCCUUAUACAGGGGAAAAGAAAGGAAAAAUAUUUAUUCCCAAGAAGAAGACUGUACAGUCAUAUAAAGAAGAGAAAGUGUCUCUCGAUCCAGAAUUAGAGGAAGCCUUGACAAGUGCCACAGAUACAGAAUUAUGUGACCUUGCAGCUAUCCUGGGAAUGCACAACUUGAUAUCGAACGCUGAUUUCUGUGACAUAGUCGGAAGUAGCAAUGGUGUUGACAAAGAGAGCUUCUCAAAUAUAGUAAAAGGUGAAAAGAUUUUGCCAGUUUUUGAUGAACCGCCAAAUCCCACAAAUGUGGAAGAAGCACUGCAGAGGAUUAAAGAUAAUGACUCUCAUCUUGUUGAAGUGAAUCUGAACAAUAUAAAGAACAUCCCGAUUCCAACGCUGAAAGAAUUUGCAAAGGCUUUGGAAACCAACACUCAUGUGAAGAAAUUCAGCCUUGCAGCUACUCGAAGCAAUGACCCUGUUGCUGUUGCUUUUGCUGAUAUGCUGAGAGUAAACAAAACAUUGAGAAGUCUAAAUAUAGAAUCCAACUUCAUCACUGGAGCUGGCAUUCUGGCACUGACUGAUGCACUAAAAGAGAAUGAAACCUUGACAGAGAUCAAAAUCAAUAACCAGAGGCAGCAGUUGGGACAACCUGUAGAAAUGGAAAUUGCCAAGAUGCUUGAGGAGAACACACAGAUCCUUAAAUUUGGAUACCAGUUCACACAACAGGGACCACGGACCAAGGCAGCUGCAGCUAUCACAAAAAAUAAUGAUUUGGUCUGGAGUGUGCAAGUAAAAAUUUCUGCAAAUGCCCUUUCAUCUCUCCAGCCCUGAAGCUACAGACAGGUUAUUGUGAAUACCCAUUUGGGUAUCGAGCACUGAAACUGUGAUGUUUAAAGUCUCGCAUCACUGUCUUUUUCGCAAGAGAAGGAUUGAAGGAGACCAUCAAUAAAUCUUGCUGCUGCCAGAAUGGAUUGUGUGAAGAUGUCAUAGAUCUUCAAGGCUCAUUGUAGGCUUGGCAGUCUCUGACUUCAUUUAUCUGGGUAGAAGGGAAAAGACUGGAAACCCCAUUCCUUUUUUGUAAAAUUACAUUAAUUAUCUGUGUGGUAUGCAUCACAUUUCUCAGUUUCAGGCAUAGUACCUGCACCUGACUGUGCAGAGAUCAGGUUUUUUAAAAGAACUUUUUUAUAUUUCAAGACUUCCUACUAUACUUUUUGCUAAAAUGAUGUAAAUUCAGAAAUCAAUGGAGUGGUUGUCUAUUCAGAGAAUGCCACAUGAAGGAUCAGUGGGUAAAUAACAAAAACAAUUGGAGUAUGUUUCUGAUAGAAAAGCUAGGGUGGUUAUUUAAGUGGAAGGAUUUGUAUAUUUUUUUUUUUUUUAGAACAAUGGUUUAGUGAAAAGGGAUUCUUCAUGCAGAACAAUUGGGCUGUUUGUAGCUAUUCAGCCUUGUUCAUAUGAACUUAAAGAUUAAUCUUUCACAGCUAUCACAGUUGCAGUUCUACUAUUUUUUAUGUUCUUGAUCAGGUUAAAAUGCUUUAGUACUGUGAUUAAGCUUGAAAGUUGUCUGUUUUUAAAACAAAAUUAAUUGGAUAAGGACGUCUACUUUUUUUCAACAUUCAGGAAACUAAUAUAAAGUGAAGGUGCCUUGAAAAAUUGACAGUGUCUGUACUAAACCAAAAAGCCUCCAAAACAGCUUAUGUUGGAAAAUAUUCUGAGACUGUACUUUGCUCUGAUGUGUCUAAACUGAGCUUUAGAUUUGAUUUUUGUAUGUUCCUCAGCAUUGUUUAGGGUAUAGCAUUCUUUCUUUAAAAAUAUCUAUAUCUAAAUAUAGUAAAAGGCAUAGGAGUUUUCUAGAAGUAGUGGACAUGCAUUCUUUAAGAAAUGCUGGCUAGUGGGUGCUGAAAAAGCAAUCUUACGAACUGUAAAAAUCCUACGGUCCCUGGUGGUAGUUAGUUGGUUAUUCUGUUUGUUAAACUAAAAUCAGUCAUACUUCCUUCCAUAUAAAAUGGUGACAACUGUAUCAGACAAGUUUUCGUCUGUCACAAUGAUAAAAGGUCUUUCUGUUCCACUGACUUAUGGUCCUAUUGUCAUGAUGUAAACUAUGCUGAAACUUACUAGUUCUAACAAAUUUCUAAUGUGUUGGACAGUAUAUUCACAAUAUUAUUCGAGACCAUUUAUUGAAGAUAGGCAUUUAGUCAAAUGUGUCACUGUAAAUGUUGUCAAGUUCUAUAUCUUCAAAAACUAACUGGGUGACAAAAGUCACUUCACUUUUAGUACUAAAUAGAAGUGGACUUUUUGAGGGUAUUGUGAAAUUUAAAUAGUUUUUACUUGUGCUGUUUUUUGAAUUGCACUGUAUGAAAUGCUACAAUGUUGCCCAUUAUGCCAUAAAAGUAGAAGCACAUUCUAAGGAACCAGACAACUACAUUUAUAGUGGCACACAAUUCAAACGUUGUAAGUGUCAAUAUUCUUAAAAUGAUCAUAAUUAUGGUGAGUUUAUAUAAACUAUGUAUUGGGGAUGUGAAAGAAAAAUGUCUAGAACAGA
Molecule: RNA transcript, 3347 nt
Organism: Alligator sinensis (Chinese alligator)
Lineage: Eukaryota; Metazoa; Chordata; Crocodylia; Alligatoridae
Gene name: tropomodulin-3
Exons: 11
Source: RefSeq, a predicted model, not a curated record